Capra hircus (goat) is the source of this 135-nucleotide small nuclear RNA. Lineage: Eukaryota; Metazoa; Chordata; Mammalia; Artiodactyla; Bovidae. The record is from Ensembl.
GUGUUCUGGGUGCCCUUUAAGAGUCCGUCUCCUGCUCAACUCAGCAACACAUACAGUAAAAUUGGAGCAAUACAAAGAUGAGCAUGACCCCCGCACAAGGAUGACACGCAAAUUCAUGAAGCAUUCCACAUUAAA